Molecule: ribosomal RNA, 487 nt
Filed under: uncultured bacterium
Lineage: Bacteria
Description: partial 16S ribosomal RNA
Rfam family: Bacterial small subunit ribosomal RNA
Source: RNAcentral
GACGAACGCUGGCGGCGUGCUUAACACAUGCAAGUCGAACGGUGAAGGUGGGAGCUUGCUCCUGCUGGAUCAGUGGCGAACGGGUGAGUAACACGUGAGUAACCUGCCCUUGACUCUGGGAUAAGCGUUGGAAACGACGUCUAAUACCGGAUACGAGCUUCAGCCGCAUGGCUAGGAGUUGGAAAGAUUUUUCGGCCAAGGAUGGACCCGCGGCCUAUCAGCGUGUUGGUGAGGUAAGGGCUCACCAAGGCGACGACGGGUAGCCGGCCUGAGAGGGUGACCGGCCACACUGGGACUGAGACACGGCCCAGACUCCUACGGGAGGCAGCAGUGGGGAAUAUUGCACAAUGGGCGCAAGCCUGAUGCAGCAACGCCGCGUGAGGGACGACGGCCUUCGGGUUGUAAACCUCUUUUAGCAGGGAAGAAGCGCAAGUGACGGUACCUGCAGAAAAAGCACCGGCUAACUACGUGCCAGCCGCCGCAGUAA